ACUCCUACGGGAGGCAGCAGUGGGGAAUAUUGCACAAUGGGGGAAACCCUGAUGCAGCCAUGCCGCGUGUAUGAAGAAGGCCUUCGGGUUGUAAAGUACUUUCAGUUGUGAGGAAGGCGUUGGAGUUAAUAGCUUCAGCGCUUGACGUUAGCAACAGAAGAAGCACCGGCUAACUCCGUGCCAGCAGCCGCGGUAAU
This 197-nucleotide ribosomal RNA is filed under the name uncultured bacterium. RNAcentral describes it as "partial 16S ribosomal RNA". It matches the Rfam family "Bacterial small subunit ribosomal RNA", at positions 335 to 524 of the family's 1533-position model. The record is from RNAcentral.